GACGAACGCUGGCGGCGUGCUUAACACAUGCAAGUCGAACGAUGAACCGGUUUCGGCCGGGGAUUAGUGGCGAACGGGUGAGUAACACGUGGGCAAUCUGCCCUGCACUCUGGGAUAAGCCCGGGAAACUGGGUCUAAUACCGGAUACGGCACUCCGAGGCAUCUUGGGGUGUGGAAAGUUCCGGCGGUGCAGGAUGAGCCCGCGGCCUAUCAGCUUGUUGGUGGGGUAAUGGCCUACCAAGGCGACGACGGGUAGCCGGCCUGAGAGGGUGACCGGCCACACUGGGACUGAGACACGGCCCAGACUCCUACGGGAGGCAGCAGUGGGGAAUAUUGCACAAUGGGCGAAAGCCUGAUGCAGCGACGCCGCGUGAGGGAUGACGGCCUUCGGGUUGUAAACCUCUUUCAGCAGGGAAGAAGCGAAAGUGACGGUACCUGCAGAAGAAGCACCGGCUAACUACGUG
RNAcentral lists this ribosomal RNA (464 nucleotides) under uncultured bacterium. RNAcentral's name for it is "partial 16S ribosomal RNA". It matches the Rfam family "Bacterial small subunit ribosomal RNA", at positions 28 to 507 of the family's 1533-position model. The record is from RNAcentral.